This 276-nucleotide ribosomal RNA is filed under the name uncultured bacterium. RNAcentral describes it as "partial 16S ribosomal RNA". The record is from RNAcentral.
CUGCUGCCUCCCGUAGGAGUCUGGUCCGUGUCUCAGUACCAGUGUGGGGGACCUUCCUCUCAGAACCCCUACGCAUCGUCGGUUAGGUGGGCCGUUACCCCGCCUACUGCCUAAUGCGCCGCAUGCCCAUCCCUGUCCGGCCGAAGCCUUUCCUGUCUCCGGGAUGCCCCGGUGGCAUGUACGCGGGUUUAGCCCGCCUUUCGGCGGGUUGUCCCCCUGACAGGGGCAGGUUGCAUACGUGUUACUCACCCGUGCGCCGGUCGCCGGCGGAGAAAG